This 103-nucleotide small RNA is filed under the name Salmonella enterica subsp. enterica serovar Muenchen. Its description in RNAcentral is "partial RtT sRNA". It matches the Rfam family "RtT RNA", at positions 1 to 102 of the family's 130-position model. Rfam says of the family: This family represents a bacterial cis-regulatory element known as RtT RNA. The exact function of RtT is unknown although it is thought that it may be involved in changing the cellular response in relation to amino acid starvation. The record is from RNAcentral. RNAcentral also lists the same sequence under 3 other names. Lineage: Bacteria; Pseudomonadati; Pseudomonadota; Gammaproteobacteria; Enterobacterales; Enterobacteriaceae.
AUAUCUCUCUGUACGGGAAGGAUGAGAAGCUUCGACUAAGGUUCGAUUCGAGCGCAGCGAGAAAGCGUUGCCGCAGGCAACGACCCGAAGGGCGAAGCGCGCA